This 826-nucleotide ribosomal RNA is filed under the name uncultured bacterium. Its description in RNAcentral is "bacterial SSU rRNA". It matches the Rfam family "Bacterial small subunit ribosomal RNA", at positions 8 to 827 of the family's 1533-position model. The record is from RNAcentral.
AGAGUUUGAUCCUGGCUCAGGAUGAACGCUAGCGGCAGGCUUAACACAUGCAAGUCGAGGGGUAACAGAGGUAGCUUGCUACUUGCUGACGACCGGCGCACGGGUGCGUAACGCGUAUACAAUCUGCCUUAUACAGAGGGAUAGCCUUUAGAAAUGAAGAUUAAUACCUCAUGGUCUAUUAAUAUAGCAUUAUAUAAAUAGUAAAGCUUCGGCGGUAUAAGAUGAGUAUGCGUCCUAUUAGUUAGUUGGUAAGGUAACGGCUUACCAAGACAACGAUAGGUAGGGGCCCUGAGAGGGGGAUCCCCCACACUGGUACUGAGACACGGACCAGACUCCUACGGGAGGCAGCAGUGAGGAAUAUUGGACAAUGGAGGUAACUCUGAUCCAGCCAUGCCGCGUGCAGGAAGACGGCCCUAUGGGUUGUAAACUGCUUUUAUAUAGGAAGAAACCUUUUCACGUGUGAGAAGCUGACGGUACUAUAAGAAUAAGGACCGGCUAACUCCGUGCCAGCAGCCGCGGUAAUACGGAGGGUCCGAGCGUUAUCCGGAAUCAUUGGGUUUAAAGGGUCCGUAGGCGGGAAUCUAAGUCAGUGGUGAAAUCUUACAGCUCAACUGUAAAAUUGCCAUUGAUACUGGGUUUCUUGAAUUAGUGUGAAGUGAUUAGAAUGUGUAGUGUAGCGGUGAAAUGCAUAGAUAUUACACAGAAUACCAAUUGCGAAGGCAGAUCACUAACACUAUAUUGACGCUGAGGGACGAAAGCGUGGGGAGCGAACAGGAUUAGAUACCCUGGUAGUCCACGCCGUAAACGAUGGAUACUAGCUGUUCGA